Molecule: ribosomal RNA, 504 nt
Filed under: uncultured organism
Description: bacterial SSU rRNA
Rfam family: Bacterial small subunit ribosomal RNA
Source: RNAcentral
AAUGAACGCUGGCGGUAGGCUUAACACAUGCAAGUCGGACGGAAACGACAUGAACAAUCACUUCGGUGUGCGAUCAUGGGCGUCGAGUGGCGGACGGGUGAGUAAUGCCUGGGAAUCUACCCUAAUGUUGGGGACAACAUAUGGAAACGUAUGCUAAUACCGAAUAUGAUCUACGGAUUAAAGGUGCCCUCUCCUUGGAAGGUAUCGCAUUAGGAUGAGCCCAGGUGAGAUUAGCUAGUUGGUGAGGUAAAGGCUCACCAAGGCAACGAUCUCUAGCUGGUUUGAGAGGAUGAUCAGCCACACUGGGACUGAGACACGGCCCAGACUCCUACGGGAGGCAGCAGUGGGGAAUAUUGCACAAUGAGCGAAAGCUUGAUGCAGCCAUACCGCGUGUGUGAAGAAGGCCCGAGGGUUGUAAAGCACUUUCAAUUGUGAGGAAGGUUCAGUAGUUAAUACCUGCUGUUCUUGACGUUAACUUUAGAAGAAGCACCGGCUAACUCUGUG